This 466-nucleotide ribosomal RNA is filed under the name uncultured bacterium. Its description in RNAcentral is "partial 16S ribosomal RNA". It matches the Rfam family "Bacterial small subunit ribosomal RNA", at positions 28 to 507 of the family's 1533-position model. The record is from RNAcentral.
GACGAACGCUGGCGGUGUGCCUAACACAUGCAAGUCGAACGGUAAGGCCCUUUCGGGGGUACACGUGUGGCGAACGGGUGAGUAACACGUGAGUAACCUGCCCUCAUCUCUGGGAUAACAGUCGGAAACGGUUGCUAAUACUGGAUAUGAGCUUGCAAGGCAUCUUGUGGGUUGGAAAGAUUUUUUUGGUUGGGGAUGGACUCGCGGCCUAUCAGCUUGUUGGUGAGGUAGUGGCUCACCAAGGCUUCGACGGGUAGCCGGCCUGAGAGGGCGACCGGCCACAUUGGGACUGAGAUACGGCCCAAACUCCUACGGGAGGCAGCAGUGGGGAAUAUUGCACAAUGGACGGAAGUCUGAUGCAGCAACGCCGCGUGCGGGAGGACGGCCUUCGGGUUGUAAACCGCUUUCAAUUGUGACGAAGCUUUUUGUGACGGUAGCAGUAGAAGAAGCACCGGCUAACUACGUG